GACGAACGCUGGCGGCGUGCUUAACACAUGCAAGUCGAACGGAAAGGCCCUGCUUUUGUGGGGUGCUCGAGUGGCGAACGGGUGAGUAACACGUGAGUAACCUGCCCUUGACUUUGGGAUAACUUCAGGAAACUGGGGCUAAUACCGGAUAGGAGCUCCUGCUGCAUGGUGGGGGUUGGAAAGUUUCGGCGGUUGGGGAUGGACUCGCGGCCUAUCAGCUUGUUGGUGGGGUAGUGGCUUAUCAAGGCUUUGACGGGUAGCCGGCCUGAGAGGGUGACCGGCCACAUUGGGACUGAGAUACGGCCCAGACUCCUACGGGAGGCAGCAGUGGGGAAUAUUGCACAAUGGGCGGAAGCCUGAUGCAGCAACGCCGCGUGCGGGAUGACGGCCUUCGGGUUGUAAACCGCUUUCGCCUGUGACGAAGCGUGAGUGACGGUAAUGGGUAAAGAAGCACCGGCUAACUACGUG
This 468-nucleotide ribosomal RNA is filed under the name uncultured bacterium. RNAcentral describes it as "partial 16S ribosomal RNA". It matches the Rfam family "Bacterial small subunit ribosomal RNA", at positions 28 to 507 of the family's 1533-position model. The record is from RNAcentral.